UGUAUUUGAUGAAGAAAAUAAAAGUGGAAUUUUUUUUGUUUGAUUGAAGCAGACACUGAAGUUUCCAAAUUACAUGUGAGAAAAUAGAAGACAAAAAAUUGCCCCUCAAUCUACAGAAUAAAAAUUCAAGGCUAUGAUGAAACCAUUCUGAUGAGGUCUGCAUCCCUAGGAAUGACCUCAUCUAAUGAAUUGGACAAGGAUAUGGAUUUUAGGAGAAGAGGGUUCUGCCCAGAGUGGAAGCAACUUGAGGUUAUCAAUAUCUGGGAAGUAAUGAUGGAGUAUUGCUUCGAUGCUUUGUGAUUCUUGACCAAUUCUCAACUGGAUGAUUUUUAAGCCCUUUGGCUUAAAUUAAAUUUGGACAUCAAUACAAGGGCUAAGAAAUGGAUUACAGGUACAAUGCAACUCCAGUUUUAACCAGAUUAAUGCAUUAUUAGUACCUGAAUUGCUACGUCUUUCCACUG
This 461-nucleotide long non-coding RNA is filed under the name Phascolarctos cinereus (koala). RNAcentral's name for it is "lncRNA (ENSPCIG00000032680.1)". Lineage: Eukaryota; Metazoa; Chordata; Mammalia; Diprotodontia; Phascolarctidae. The record is from RNAcentral.